UGGUGUUAUUUUGACGGCAAUACUGCACAGAAAAACAAUUGAAUUGGCUCAUCAAAUUACCAUUUCUAGAACGUAAAGCUUCCGAUUUGUUUCUCUUAUGCAUCAUGAAAAACCAUUGAAGAACGAAAAAACAAAUAUCAUGGCUAACAACAAUAAUUAAUUGAUCAUUAAUUAAUCAUCCCAAAACAGAUGAGAUGAGUUGCGCUAAUUGUGUUCUGAUGGGUAAGUUGCAUAAGCCAUAAAUGCAAAGCUCUGUUAUUUUUUUUAACCAAUUCGGUAGGGGAGCUACCGCACACCCGUUUUUUGACAGAAUUAAAGGACCAGAACAUAUUUCAGAUGGAUAUUUUCUAUUUUCUCUCCCUUUGGACUAAAAAUAGCUCUAGCAAAAGGUCAAAUAAGUAAUUAUAUAAUUCACCCAAAUCAAACAAACACUGUCCUCUGAAUUUUGGCUAAAAAUAAAAUAUAAUAACACAACUGACCUAGAUUUCUCUCGACCAAAGAAAAGUAUAUUGGAGAAAAACGGAAAAAAAAAAAUUAUUGUCUUCGGAGGCUAUUAAAGGGGAGCAUUGGUUAUAGAGAAAGCCUGAGAUAUGUCUUCUAGGGCAUGACUGGGUCCAGUAUACCAGUGUAGCUCAGUAAUCUUGUUCUUGACGUCGUCGAUCUCGGACGG
Molecule: unclassified non-coding RNA, 670 nt
Filed under: Hevea brasiliensis (rubber tree)
Lineage: Eukaryota; Viridiplantae; Streptophyta; Magnoliopsida; Malpighiales; Euphorbiaceae
Source: RNAcentral